CUGGCAAUUGAAAGACGAAGCAAGUUUUCAAUCCUAAUAGUAAAUUAAUAAUAUUGAAAAAUAUUAAAAAUCACUAAAAGAUUUUUAAAUUGAAAACUUAUUGGUACAUUUUCAUGGUAACACCUCCAAGACUUCUAUAAUUUGCAAGUCAUAUGGAUGCUGCAGUGAAGACGAAAGGGAAGGAAUUCUACACUUUGCAAUUCACAUCCCCCGUCUGCAGCCGGCAAAGUUCCAACUAUACGGAGUGCAGUCCAGUUCCUUUAACCGCGAUUUUCUGCUCUUAUUGGAGCUUCAUCAGAAGGAACGUAGGCACUGUUCUCCAUACUUCAACCAAAUUGCAUCGAGAGGUUUUCCCAAACAUCGCAACCAAAGUGAUGAUAAUAGGUGGCAAGCGCCAUCUGGCAAUUGAAAGACGAAGCAAGUUUUCAAUCCUAAUAGUAAAUUAAUAAUAUUGAAAAAUAUUAAAAAUCACUAAAAGAUUUUUAAAUUGAAAACUUAUUGGUACAUUUUCAUGAUAACACCUCCAAGACUUCUAUAAUUUGCAAGUCAUAUGGAUGCUGCAGUGAAGACGAAAGGGAAGGAAUUCUACACUUUGCAAUUCACAUCCCCCCGUCUGCAGCCGGCAAAGUUCCAACUGAAAAAUGCACCUGGUUACUCUACGGAGUAAUACGAAAAUAAAAUAAAAAUGUGUACCAUUUUUAUUCGGUUGCAAUGCGAAGGCAAACCAAUCUUACUUUUUAAUUAGAAUACGGAGUGCAGUCCAGUUCCUUUAACCGCGAUUUUCUGCUCUUAUUGGAGCUUCAUCAGAAGGAACGUAGGCACUGUUCUCCAUACUCCAACCAAAUUGCAUCGAGAGGUUUUCCCAAACAUCGCAAUCAAAGUGAUGAUAAUAGGUGGCAAGCGCCAUCUGGCAAUUGAAAGACGAAGCAAGUUUUCAAUCCUAAUAGUAAAUUAAUAAUAUUGAAAAAUAUUAAAAAUCACUAAAAGAUUUUUAAAUUGAAAACUUAUUGGUACAUUUUCAUGGUAACACCUCCAAGACUUCUAUAAUUUGCAAGUCAUAUGGAUGCUGCAGUGAAGACGAAAGGGAAGGAAUUCUACACUUUGCAAUUCACAUCCCCCGUCUGCAGCCGGCAAAGUUCCAACUAUACGGAGUGCAGUCCAGUUCCUUUAACCGCGAUUUUCUGCUCUUAUUGGAGCUUCAUCAGAAGGAACGUAGGCACUGUUCUCCAUACUUCAACCAAAUUGCAUCGAGAGGUUUUCCCAAACAUCGCAACCAAAGUGAUGAUAAUAGGUGGCAAGCGCCAUCUGGCAAUUGAAAGACGAAGCAAGUUUUCAAUCCUAAUAGUAAAUUAAUAAUAUUGAAAAAUAUUAAAAAUCACUAAAAGAUUUUUAAAUUGAAAACUUAUUGGUACAUUUUCAUGAUAACACCUCCAAGACUUCUAUAAUUUGCAAGUCAUAUGGAUGCUGCAGUGAAGACGAAAGGGAAGGAAUUCUACACUUUGCAAUUCACAUCCCCCCGUCUGCAGCCGGCAAAGUUCCAACUGAAAAAUGCACCUGGUUACUCUACGGAGUAAUACGAAAAUAAAAUAAAAAUGUGUACCAUUUUUAUUCGGUUGCAAUGCGAAGGCAAACCAAUCUUACUUUUUAAUUAGAAUACGGAGUGCAGUCCAGUUCCUUUAACCGCGAUUUUCUGCUCUUAUUGGAGCUUCAUCAGAAGGAACGUAGGCACUGUUCUCCAUACUCCAACCAAAUUGCAUCGAGAGGUUUUCCCAAACAUCGCAAUCAAAGUGAUGAUAAUAGGUGGCAAGCGCCAUCUGGCAAUUGAAAGACGAAGCAAGUUUUCAAUCCUAAUAGUAAAUUAAUAAUAUUGAAAAAUAUUAAAAAUCACUAAAAGAUUUUUAAAUUGAAAACUUAUUGGUACAUUUUCAUGGUAACACCUCCAAGACUUCUAUAAUU
Diabrotica virgifera virgifera (western corn rootworm) is the source of this 1956-nucleotide long non-coding RNA. RefSeq lists it as uncharacterized. The record is from RefSeq and is a predicted model, not a curated record. The transcript has 3 exons. Lineage: Eukaryota; Metazoa; Arthropoda; Insecta; Coleoptera; Chrysomelidae.